UCACUUACCUGGAUGGGGUCAAUGGGCGAUCAAAAAGGUCCAUGGCCUAGGUUGGUGACCUCCAUUGCACUCAGGAGGGGUGCCCGCCUAAGGUCGGCCCAAGUGGUCGAGCCUACAUCAUAAUUUGUGGUAGUUGGGGCUUGCGUUCGCGCAGCCCCUGC
Molecule: small nuclear RNA, 161 nt
Filed under: Helianthus annuus (common sunflower)
Lineage: Eukaryota; Viridiplantae; Streptophyta; Magnoliopsida; Asterales; Asteraceae
Description: U1 spliceosomal RNA
Rfam family: U1 spliceosomal RNA
About the family: U1 is a small nuclear RNA (snRNA) component of the spliceosome (involved in pre-mRNA splicing). Its 5' end forms complementary base pairs with the 5' splice junction, thus defining the 5' donor site of an intron.
Source: RNAcentral